RNAcentral lists this ribosomal RNA (1930 nucleotides) under human gut metagenome. Its description in RNAcentral is "bacterial LSU rRNA". It matches the Rfam family "Bacterial large subunit ribosomal RNA", at positions 3 to 1973 of the family's 2925-position model. The record is from RNAcentral.
UCAAGCGACUAAGUGUAUGUGGUGGAUGCCUUGGCGAUCACAGGCGAUGAAGGACGUGAAAGCCUGCGAAAAGCUGUGGGGAGCUGGCAAAUAAGCUUUGAUCCACAGAUCUCCGAAUGAGGGAACUCACUUGGCUUCGGCCAAGUAUCCAUGUCUGAAUACAUAGGGCAUGGAGGCGAACGCGGUGAACUGAAACAUCUAAGUAACCGCAGGAAAAGAAAUCAACCGAGAUUCCGAAAGUAGCGGCGAGCGAAAUCGGACGAGCCUAGUGCUUGAUAAUGCUGCCGACAGCAGAACGGUCUGGAAAGUCCGGCUACAGAGGGUGAUAGCCCCGUAUGCGAAGUCCGCAGCAUGGUACUAAGAGCACGAUAAGUAGGGCGGGACACGUGACAUCCUGUCUGAAGAUGGGGGGACCAUCCUCCAAGGCUAAAUACUCGUGAUCGACCGAUAGUGAACCAGUACUGUGAAGGAAAGGCGAAAAGAACCCCGGGAGGGGAGUGAAAUAGAUCCUGAAACCGCAUACAUACAAACAGUAGGAGCCUCUUUAUGGGGUGACUGCGUACCUUUUGCAUAAUGGGUCAGCGACUUACGUUCAAUGGCAAGCUUAACCGUAUAGGGGAGGCGCAGCGAAAGCGAGUUCGAACAGAGCGAUUUCAGUCGUUGGGCGUAGACCCGAAACCAGAUGAUCUAUCCAUGGUCAGGUUGAAGGUGUGGUAACACACACUGGAGGACCGAACCGACUAGUGUUGCAAAAUUAGCGGAUGAACUGUGGAUAGGGGUGAAAGGCUAAACAAAUCUGGAGAUAGCUGGUUCUCCCCGAAAACUAUUGAGGUAGUGCCUCGUGUAUGGCUCCAGGGGGUAGAGCACUGUUAUGGCUAGGGGGACAUGGCGUCUUACCAAACCAUGGCAAACUCCGAAUACUUGGAAGUCGAAGCACGGGAGACAGAGCACCGGGUGCUAACGUCCGGACUCAAAAGGGAAACAACCCAGACCGCCGGCUAAGGUCCCUAAUAUGAACUGAGUGGAAAACGAAGUGGGAAGGCUAAGACAGUCAGGAAGUUGGCUUAGAAGCAGCCAUCCUUCAAAGAAAGCGUAAUAGCUCACUGAUCGAGUCUUCCUGCGCGGAAGAUGUAACGGGGCUAAGUUCAUAACCGAAGCCGCGGAUUCACACGCAAGUGUGAGUGGUAGGGGAGCGUUCUGUAAGCCUGCGAAGGUGACUCGCAAGGGUUGCUGGAGGUAUCAGAAGUGCGAAUGCUGACAUGAGUAACGUUAAAGCGGGUGAAAAGCCCGCUCGCCGUAAGCCCAAGGUUUCCUGCUCUACGUUCAUCGGAGCAGGGUGAGUCGGCCCCUAAGGCGAGGCUGAGAAGCGUAGCUGAUGGGAACAAGGUUAAUAUUCCUUGACCGCCGUUGAGUGCGAAGGGGGGACGGAGUGUUGAAGAUCAUCCGGGUGUUGGAUGUCCCGGUUUCCGCGCGUAGGAGGUCUGCAGGCAAAUCCGCAGACGAAUCUCCGAGGCAAAGGAUCGAGUCCCAUUGGGGACGAAGUGAUUGGAUGGACUUCCAGGAAAAGCCUCUAAGCUCCAGCUCAACGGGACCGUACCGCAAACCGACACUGGUGGGCGAGCUGAAUAUGCUCAGGCGCUUGAGAGAACUCAGGAGAAGGAACUCGGCAAAUUGACACCGUAACUUCGGGAUAAGGUGUGCCUUGGUAGCGUGGAGGGAGAAACACCCCGAGCGUGAAGAGGUCUCAGAGAAUCGGUGGCUGCGACUGUUUACUAAAAACACAGCACUCUGCAAAGACGAAAGUCGACGUAUAGGGUGUGAUGCCUGCCCGGUGCUGGAAGAUUAAUUGAUGGGGUGCAAGCUCCUGAUCGAAGUCCCAGUAAACGGCGGCCGUAACUAUAACGGUCCUAAGGUAGCGAAAUUCCUUGUC